This 23-nucleotide microRNA is filed under the name Sus scrofa (pig). RNAcentral describes it as "ssc-mir152". The record is from RNAcentral. Lineage: Eukaryota; Metazoa; Chordata; Mammalia; Artiodactyla; Suidae.
UCAGCUUCGGGCCUAGAUCCUGG